ACAGCAGUAGCCGCGGGAAUACGUAGGGUGCAAGCGUUAAUCGGAAUUACUGGGCGUAAAGCGUGCGCAGGCGGUUAUAUAAGACAGAUGUGAAAUCCCCGGGCUCAACCUGGGAACUGCAUUUGUGACUGUAUAGCUAGAGUACGGCAGAGGGGGAUGGAAUUCCGCGUGUAGCAGUGAAAUGCGUAGAUAUGCGGAGGAACACCGAUGGCGAAGGCAAUCCCCUGGGCCUGUACUGACGCUCAUGCACGAAAGCGUGGGGAGCAAACAGGAUUAGAGACCCCCGUAGUCCCUGUCUCUUAUAC
This 305-nucleotide ribosomal RNA is filed under the name uncultured bacterium. RNAcentral's name for it is "partial 16S ribosomal RNA". It matches the Rfam family "Bacterial small subunit ribosomal RNA", at positions 506 to 807 of the family's 1533-position model. The record is from RNAcentral.